AAAAAGACAAACCCUGAUUUCCGUGUUCAACGUUUGACCGUCUAUCUUAUUUAAAAAAAUUAUAAAAAAUUAAAAAGAUAAGUCACGCAUAAAGUAUUAAUCAUGUUUUAUCAUCUAACAACAAUAAAAAUAUUAAUUAUAAAAAAAAUUCAUAUAAAAUGGACAGUCAAACGUUGGCACGGGAACCCACGGUUUGCCUUUUU
This 203-nucleotide microRNA precursor is filed under the name Oryza barthii. RNAcentral's name for it is "MIR812 microRNA precursor family". It matches the Rfam family "MIR812 microRNA precursor family". Lineage: Eukaryota; Viridiplantae; Streptophyta; Magnoliopsida; Poales; Poaceae. The record is from Rfam by way of RNAcentral.